Piliocolobus tephrosceles (Ugandan red Colobus) is the source of this 552-nucleotide non-coding RNA. Lineage: Eukaryota; Metazoa; Chordata; Mammalia; Primates; Cercopithecidae. The record is from the annotation of a RefSeq genome assembly.
UCUGUGUCUCUGCGUGUGUAUGUGUGUGUGCAUGCGCAUGCACACAGGCAGACGCUAGGGGUAGAGUGUGAUGGUUCAAAAAGAGAAGGAAAUGCUUAAGGUAGUGAAUCACGUUUUGCCCAGGAAAACACACUUGAUAAUUGAAGGAUGAUGAAGUGUCCACAGGCUUUACUAGCGGUCUUUUGGCUUCUACUGAGCCGGGUGAGCAGUGAAGACAAGGUGGUACAAAACCCUCUAUCUCUGGUUGUCCACGAGGGAGACACUGUAACUCUCAACUGCAGUUAUGAAGUGGUUAACUUUCGAAACCUACUAUGGUACAAGCAGGAAAAGAAAGCUCCCACAUUUCUAUUUAUGCUAACUUCAAGUGGAUUUGAAAAGAAGUCAGGAAGACUAAGUGGCAUGUUAGACAAGAAAGAACUUUUCAGCAUCCUGAACAUCACAGCCACCCAGACCAGAGACUCAGCCAUCUACCUCUGUGCUGUGGAAGCACAGUGCUCCCUAGUCACCUGCAGCCUGUACUCAAAUUCUACAGCUGAAGCUCUGCAAGUGUAA